RNAcentral lists this ribosomal RNA (305 nucleotides) under uncultured bacterium. RNAcentral describes it as "bacterial SSU rRNA". It matches the Rfam family "Bacterial small subunit ribosomal RNA", at positions 337 to 634 of the family's 1533-position model. The record is from RNAcentral.
UCCUACGGGGGGCAGCAGUGGGGAAUAUUGCGCAACGGGCGAAAGCCUGACGCAGCGACGCCGCGUGAGGGAUGAAGGUCUUCGGAUCGUAAACCUCUGUCCGCAGGGAAGAACGGUCACUGUGCUAAUCAGCAGUGAAUUGACGGUACCUGCAAAGGAAGCACCGGCUAACUCCGUGCCAGCAGCCGCGGUAAUACGGAGGGUGCGAGCGUUAAUCGGAAUUACUGGGCGUAAAGCGCUCGUAGGCGGUAUGUCAAGUCAAGGGUGAAAUCCCCGCGCUCAACGUGGGAACUGCCUUUGAAACU